CCCUUAGAUGUUCUGGGCCGCACGCGUGCUACACUGAGUGGAUCAGCGGGUCAGGUUGCGCGAAAGUGUUUCCUAAUCUUUAAAUCCGCUCGUGAUGGGGAUUGACGGUUGCAAUUUUCCGUCAUGAACGAGGAAUACCUUGUAAGCGCGGGUCAUCAUCCCGCGCUGAAUACGUCCCUGCCCUUUGUGCACACCGCCCGUCGCUCCUACCGAUUGAGUGGUCCGGUGAGGCUUUGGGAUCUGAGCGGAAAGAGCGUUUCGCUGUUUCUGCUCGGAAAACUCAGUCGAACCUUAUCAUUUAGAGGAAGGAGAAGUCGUAACA
RNAcentral lists this ribosomal RNA (322 nucleotides) under uncultured eukaryote. RNAcentral's name for it is "partial 18S ribosomal RNA". It matches the Rfam family "Eukaryotic small subunit ribosomal RNA", at positions 1470 to 1796 of the family's 1831-position model. The record is from RNAcentral.